Molecule: ribosomal RNA, 225 nt
Filed under: uncultured bacterium
Lineage: Bacteria
Description: partial 16S ribosomal RNA
Rfam family: Bacterial small subunit ribosomal RNA
Source: RNAcentral
AAAAAAUACGUCCCAGUUCAGAUUGCAGCCUGCAACUCGACUGCAUGAAGUCGGAAUCGCUAGUAAUCGCGGAUCAGCAUGCCGCGGUGAAUACGUUCCCGGGCCCUGUACACACCGCCCGUCACACCAUGAGAGUCGGGAACACCCGAAGUCCGUAGCCUAACCGCAAGGGGGGCGCGGCCGAAGGUGGGUUCGAUAAUUGGGGUGAAGUCGUAACAAGGUAAC